AGUCUCGUAACUCAAUUGGACAGAGUAUCGGUUUUCUAAACCGUAAGUUACAGGUUCGAACCUUGUCGAGGCUACAA
Molecule: transfer RNA, 77 nt
Filed under: Chryseobacterium sp. BLS98
Lineage: Bacteria; Pseudomonadati; Bacteroidota; Flavobacteriia; Flavobacteriales; Weeksellaceae
Description: tRNA-Arg
Rfam family: tRNA
About the family: Transfer RNA (tRNA) molecules are approximately 80 nucleotides in length. Their secondary structure includes four short double-helical elements and three loops (D, anti-codon, and T loops).
Source: RNAcentral